RNAcentral lists this ribosomal RNA (255 nucleotides) under uncultured bacterium. RNAcentral describes it as "partial 16S ribosomal RNA". It matches the Rfam family "Bacterial small subunit ribosomal RNA", at positions 524 to 776 of the family's 1533-position model. The record is from RNAcentral.
UACGAAGGGGGCUAGCGUUGUUCGGAAUUACUGGGCGUAAAGCGCACGUAGGCGGGCUCUUAAGUCGGUGGUGAAAUCCUGGAGCUCAACUCCAGAACUGCCUCCGAUACUGAGAGUCUUCGAGUCCGGGAGAGGUGAGUGGAACUGCGAGUGUAGAGGUGAAAUUCGUAGAUAUUCGCAAGAACACCAGUGGCGAAGGCGGCUCACUGGCCCGGUACUGACGCUGAGGUGCGGAAAGCGUGGGGAGCAAACAGG